UUUCUGUUCCCUCUACCCCCUGCGGCAAG
Molecule: small RNA, 29 nt
Filed under: Bombyx mori (domestic silkworm)
Lineage: Eukaryota; Metazoa; Arthropoda; Insecta; Lepidoptera; Bombycidae
Description: ovarian small RNA-549
Source: RNAcentral